This 477-nucleotide ribosomal RNA is filed under the name uncultured anaerobic ammonium-oxidizing bacterium. RNAcentral describes it as "bacterial SSU rRNA". It matches the Rfam family "Bacterial small subunit ribosomal RNA", at positions 365 to 832 of the family's 1533-position model. The record is from RNAcentral.
UUCGCAAUGCCCGAAAGGGUGACGAAGCGACGCCGCGUGGGUGAGGAAGGCCUUCGGGUUGUAAAGCCCUGUCAGGAGUUAAGAAAUGUAGACUCGCUAAUAUCGGGUCUAUUUGACAAAGGCUCCAAAGGUAGCCACGGCUAACUCUGCGCCAGCAGCCGCGGUAAUACAGAGGUGGCAAGCGUUGUUCGGUAUUAUUGGGCGUAAAGAGCACGUAGGUGGUUUUGUAAGUCAGAUGUGAAAGCCUUCUGUUCAAAGGAAGAACGGCAUCUGAAACUGCAGAUCUUGAGUGUAGGAGGGGAGAGUGGAACUUCUGGUGGAGCGGUGAAAUGCGUAGAUAUCAGAAGGAACGUCGGCGGCGAAAGCGACUCUCUGGCCUAUUACUGACACUGAGUGUGCGAAAGUUAGGGGAGCAAACGGGAUUAGAUACCCCGGUAGUCCUAGCCGUAAACGAUGGGCACUAAGUAGAGGGGUUUU